UACGUAGGGGGCAAGCGUUGUCCGGAAUUAUUGGGCGUAAAGCGCGCGCAGGCGGCUUUUUAAGUCUGGUGUUUAAACCUAGGGCUCAACCUUGGGUCGCAUCGGAAACUGGGAGGCUGGAGUGUAGGAGAGGGAAGUGGAAUUCCACGUGUAGCGGUGAAAUGCGUAGAGAUGUGGAGGAACACCAGUGGCGAAGGCGACUUCCUGGCCUAUAACUGACGCUGAGGCGCGAAAGCGUGGGGAGCAAACAGG
RNAcentral lists this ribosomal RNA (252 nucleotides) under uncultured Paenibacillus sp. RNAcentral's name for it is "partial 16S ribosomal RNA". It matches the Rfam family "Bacterial small subunit ribosomal RNA", at positions 524 to 776 of the family's 1533-position model. Lineage: Bacteria; Bacillati; Bacillota; Bacilli; Caryophanales; Paenibacillaceae. The record is from RNAcentral.